Molecule: ribosomal RNA, 225 nt
Filed under: uncultured Gemmatimonas sp.
Lineage: Bacteria; Pseudomonadati; Gemmatimonadota; Gemmatimonadia; Gemmatimonadales; Gemmatimonadaceae
Description: partial 16S ribosomal RNA
Rfam family: Bacterial small subunit ribosomal RNA
Source: RNAcentral
CGCGUAGGCGGUGGCUUAAGCGUGCGGUGAAAGCCCGGGGCUCAACCCCGGGUCGGCCGUGCGAACUGGGCCACUUGAGCACUGUAGAGGCAGGUGGAAUUCCGGGUGUAGCGGUGGAAUGCGUAGAGAUCCGGAAGAACACCGGUGGCGAAGGCGGCCUGCUGGGCAGUAGCUGACGCUGAGGCGCGACAGCGUGGGGAGCAAACAGGAUUAGAUACCCCCGUA